Equus quagga is the source of this 3081-nucleotide long non-coding RNA. RefSeq lists it as uncharacterized. NCBI's taxonomy places the organism in Eukaryota, Metazoa, Chordata, Mammalia, Perissodactyla, Equidae. The transcript is spliced from 3 exons. The record is from RefSeq and is a predicted model, not a curated record.
AAAGUUCUGGAGACGGAUGGUGGGGACGGUGGCACAACCGUGUGAAUGUGCUUCAUGCCGCUGAGCUGGGCACUGAAAACGGUUAAAAGGUAAGUUUUAUGUUAUUUUACAGUGAAAAAAAAUUUAAAUACUCAUAAGACAAUCACUUUAAAAAUACUUUUGAAAUUGAGCGAUACAGGAACAAACAGCACUUGGGGACAAAUCUUUAAAUUUAUUACCACUUUCAGCAGCGAGAUCCAUAAGGAUGGCGAUUUUGCAGUGGCGACAAGUGGCCGCCAUAUUUCGAGCCACCUGCAGCCAUGCCAUCGAUAUGAAGAUAUCUGUGGCUUUCUAUUGGGGACCACAUCCUGCCGGUGCCUUCCUUCAGAACUGAGGAAAUGGCAAAUAUGGGUCAGAGUCAGUGAAAACAGAGAUGUGGGGUUUUCCCCUCGUCAGUUCACAGACACCCCGAAUUCCCUCCUUAGGGCCCCUGAGAGGUGCGUGGACCCCAAGCCAAAGCUGGCACCCAGGUUCAUGGGACGGGGGUGCAAAUGGAAGUUAGAUGGAUGCUAAGAGCCCCCGACCCCCACCUCCCCGCCACAGCCUCUGACUUGGUGUCCGUCUCCACUGAGGGAGAAAUUUUAUUGAGUACCUACUGUGUACCAGGUGUGUCUAGGCUCUGGGGAUAGAUGGUGGCGGUGGGGGCAGCGGGGGAAGUGGGCCCUGCCUUUCGGGCCUCCCGAGCUGGCGGUGGAGAGGGCAUUAAAUCCAUCUUCCCCGGGGCGGGCCCCGUGGCCCCGCGGUGCUUCAUCAGCCUGGGUGUUAAUAAUGACAUCAAGCCACCUCGCACAGAAGUAGGAUGUGGUGGCAUCCCACAUUGAAGGACUCACAACUGGGAUGUACAACUAUGUACUGGGGCUUUGGGGAGGAAAAACAAAAAAGAGGAAGAUUGACAACAGAUGUUAGUUCAGGGCCAAUCCUCCUCACCAAAAAAAAAAAAAAAAAAAAAGUAGUGCAUCCCUUUAAAUCCAUCUUCCCGUGCCUCUCUCCGCAUCCUGCCGGAUCAUCAGGAAUUUUGGGAGCGUUCAAUCAGGGCCUGUCCCCACGACAGACAGAUCGUGGUGGUCAUCUUUGAUCCCCAGAGAGUAAAUAUUGUUGGCAUUUCGGGCCAGAUCAUCUAGGUCACAACUACUCACCCUGCCAGUUGUAGCUCGAAAGCGGCCCCAGGCGAUGCGUCAAUAAGUGGGCGCGGCCGUGUGCCAAUAAAACUUUAUUUACAAAACCAGGCGUAGUUCAGAUCCGUACUCUGACACUCACCAGCUGUGAGGUGGGGCGGAGGACGAGCCCGCGGAGUUGUGCCUCAGUUUCCCCCCCCAACACAGAGAUGACUACAGCAGCUGCCUCCUGGGGUUGAGAAAAGGAUGAGGUGACUUUUCUCUGGGGCGGCUGGGGAAGGGGGAACUGCAGGGACUGACUUCUCCUCGGCCGUGGGGAAGAUACAGUCUCGCUCUUAAUACGUCCUUCUGGAUUGUUCUCCAAAUUUGUGUUCCCUGUUCACCGGCCCCCCCGGAAGUGAAUGAACGGGCUCAUUUCCCGCCACCCUCCCCCCCAUCCCCACCACUCGCACUUUCUCUUUCUUAAUUUGUGUCGUGGGAUCGUUCAGAGGCACCAAACCAAACAAAUCUUAAAUAAACAGCUCAGCGGACUUGGGUACGUAACCCUCUCCGUGGCCAACGCGCCCAGGAGGACAGAGGUCACUUCCUGCCCCUUGGCCGUCAUUACUCACCAGAGCCGAUUUCUCCCGUCACGGUUUAGUUUCACUCGUUUUGAAACUUCAUCGAAAGGCCAUCAGACCACGGAAGGCUUCUGCUCUCAAAACAUCACGCCUGGGAGUUUCACCCGCGUUGUCGUGACGAUCGGUCACUUAUCCUUGUUCUUUGCCAUGUAAUAUUCCGAGGCGUGACCUCUACCCUGAUUGGUUUAUCUACUGGCUUCUGGAUGCGCACUUGGGUUUUUCCCCCAGUUUGGGGCUCUUUGGAAUGAAGAUGCCAUGAACAUUUGGGGGCAAGUCCGUGUGUGGACAUCUGCGCACGCUGAACUUGGGGAUAAACGCAGGAGUGGGAGGGUUAGAACACAGGGGGGCUGUCCCAUGCGGCUUUGUCAUACGGAUUUAUAAAUUCCUGCCCGUCAGACCAAGGGUCCCCAAGAGAAGGUGACAUCGCCCCGCCCUUGUGAAUGAGAAAGAAUAGAGGGUCAUUGCUGCUCUCCAGGGGGCCUGGGGGUGAGCCAACGUCCCCCUCUCGCCUCCGAGUCUCAGUUGGGGACAGACAUCGCUGGGCCAUCCCAUCGCUCCAGCAGUGACACCUGCUUCCCUGACCCCCCCCCAGAACCGCCAUCAUCAUCUGCUGGAGAUGUGCCCACGCACAGGACGGGACCGUGGCUUCCAGAAGGACCUGCAAGCAUUUCCUGUGACGAGUCAGACGAACCAGAACGGACACAAGAGUAGUAUGGAUGCUGUGACAAAUCCAGUUGCCUCGUGACCUCGAAACGGACUUAACGAGAUAUGGGGAGAAAAUCAGCUUAAAACCACCAAGUUAGUGCCAACAUGUUACAUGGCAACGGCCGACUGAUACACCCCGUUUUGUGGACGGACCAAUGAAGGGCCAGAGAGCGCAAGCGGGGCCAGACAAGCUCCCCAGCAAGUCGGGGUGCAUGCCGAAGGACGAGCACCCACACCCGCCCUCUGGGCCCUCUAGGUUUUUGGGGCCGGCACCCCAGGGUCUGAGUCCAGUUCCACCACUGACUGGCUGGGAGACUUUGAGCCGAUUACUUGAUUGCUCCCUGCCUCAGUUUCCCCAUCUAGAAGAUGGGCACACAAGUAGCACCCACCCCGGAUGGUUGAGAUGAGGAUGGAGCCGACAUCCACCAAGCGCUCAGGACAGCAACCAGCUCGUGGUGACGCUGAAAGGAAUGGGCCCAUUCGGGGACCUCAGGGACUCACUGAGUCAGAGCUCUAGUGCAUCGUUGUAUAUUCUAGUUGUAAGUCCUUCUCAUCCUUUUAUGUGGGAUGCUGCCACAGCAUGCGAGUGCAUUUCUGACAAC